RNAcentral lists this long non-coding RNA (582 nucleotides) under Lathyrus oleraceus (garden pea). Its description in RNAcentral is "Pisum sativum (pea) long non-coding RNA (PSAT_LNC041421)". The record is from RNAcentral. Lineage: Eukaryota; Viridiplantae; Streptophyta; Magnoliopsida; Fabales; Fabaceae.
UGUAACCUUCAAUUAUUAUAUAUCAUAAAGUUUUUGUUACAAAGAGGUUCACAACAAACAUUAGUACAAAAUAAGCUAACUGAAAAUAGAAAUAUUUCUAACUGAUUACAACAAUCAAAGUGAUGUCAACUCGACCGAACAUCAUUUCCCUAGCAUCCUUAUCAAUUUUCAUUCGCACCCAACCAAAGAUACUGUCGAGUCUCUCAAUACUUCUAAUUUUUUCCCCUUCUGGUAUUUUCCCAUCUAACCAAUGAAUCAACUCCCUCUUCAGUUGAUCGAAAGUAGUGAUGUUCCAGAACAACAUCAGCAUCUGAGGUUUGUCUCUCGCAUAAAUCACCUUUCCGUAUCAGCGACGAACACCAAACAUGAUUGUCAAAUGAUGAAAUGAGAUGUGAAAAAAUGAUUCACACAACACAUCUAUUUAUAAUUUAAAAAAAAUUGCAUUUUACACUGAGGUGCCAAUCCAAUUGGCGCCUCCUUUGUAAAAAUACACAUGGACGUCAAUUGGAUGGUGCAGCCAAUCCAAUUGGCGCCUCCAUUCAAUUUUUAAGAGGAGUCGCCAAUUGGAUUGACGCCUUCUCC